GACGUCAUUAAUUACAUCAUUUGUGAGGAUGGAACAGAUCAGCCAGCAACACAGCGAGCAUAUCACCCUGAAGAACUGAAGUCGAAUGAGACAUUAAAACCAGAUAUCAAGUAUAUCUUUCGCAGCAAAUUCAUCCUGUUGUUUCGCGGUUGUGUGACCCUAUUGAAGGUGUUGACUCAGCUCAAAUUGCGGAACAUUUAGGUCUUGAUCCAUUUCAUAUAGACAGUCUACGAUAGGCCGGAAUGAAGAUCUAGCCAACGGAGAUUAUAGCACUUUAGGAACACUAACCGAUGAAGAACGAUAUAAAAAACUGUGACAAAUUUACUUUCAAAUGUUCACAUUGCAGUGCAGAAAUAAUCAUGGAUGGACCGUCACGAAAAACGGUGAGUGCUACUUCAAUUACACCUAAAUCCACAAUUGUAACGCAAGAGCAGUUACAGUAACAAAUUUAAAUCAUUUUUUGCUGGUUGAUUUGUCA
This 478-nucleotide long non-coding RNA is filed under the name Bemisia tabaci. RNAcentral's name for it is "lncRNA ENSSWEETPG006881". Lineage: Eukaryota; Metazoa; Arthropoda; Insecta; Hemiptera; Aleyrodidae. The record is from RNAcentral.